Molecule: ribosomal RNA, 465 nt
Filed under: uncultured bacterium
Lineage: Bacteria
Description: partial 16S ribosomal RNA
Rfam family: Bacterial small subunit ribosomal RNA
Source: RNAcentral
GACGAACGCUGACGGCGUGCUUAACACAUGCAAGUCGUACGGUAAGGCCCUUUCGGGGGUACACGAGUGGCGAACGGGUGAGUAACACGUGAGUAACCUGCCCACAACUUUGGGAUAACGCUAGGAAACUGGUGCUAAUACUGGAUAUGUGCUCCUGCUGCAUGGUGGGGGUUGGAAAGCUCCGGCGGUUGUGGAUGGACUCGCGGCCUAUCAGCUUGUUGGUGGGGUAGUGGCCUACCAAGGCGGCGACGGGUAGCCGGCCUGAGAGGGUGACCGGCCACAUUGGGACUGAGAUACGGCCCAGACUCCUACGGGAGGCAGCAGUGGGGAAUAUUGCACAAUGGGCGCAAGCCUGAUGCAGCAACGCCGCGUGCGGGAUGACGGCCUUCGGGUUGUAAACCGCUUUCAGCAGGGACGAAGCUUUUUGUGACGGUACCUGCAGAAGAAGCACCGGCUAACUACGUG